AGAACAUAAAGAGAAGAAGGUCGCAGACUCUUAUCAGCUGUCCGAUAAACAGCGUGUUCAUGGCUUUGUGAAGAUGACAUUACCCUUUCUGGUGGGAACUUAUAAGAGCAUUAUAAAGGAACAAAGUGACCCGUCCGAUUGUGACAGAAGCAUGUGUCAAAGGAGCUGAUAAUGGCUAAAGAUCACCUCACAGUCUCAGCCUUCAGCUUUUAUAAUUAUGACGUAAAUGUAGAAUUGUUUAGAGGUCUAACACAUUGUAAUUUGAGUUGUGAAGUCGACAGGUUUGAAUGUGCAGAAGCAUGACUAAGAUUUGAGAGCUACUGCUGAUUUACAGCGAAUAGUGACUUGACUUUUGCCUGUUCCUCACUCUGUGGUUUCCCUACGCCGCACAUGUUAAGUGUGCGGCCUGUGGAAGCGGUUGCAUGCAGGUGUAUUCACACGCACACACCCUCAUGCCGGCAAAAGCAGGUGACGUAAGAUAGCAUUCAUCUCACAAUGAGUUUCAUCAGAUCUCUGCUCCUCACAGAUGACACUGUGAUCUCACUGAUGAAUCAAAGCCAAAGAAUGCACCACAUCCCUCCCUUCUCUCACUAGUUUUUGGUGUCACUAGUCACCAUGUUGGUUUUGCUUUCACUCAACAACAAGCUUUUUUUUAAAAUCAUUAUAUCUACUUAAUCACUGCUGAAACAGGAAACUAAAGUGUGAUUCAAUGUUGCUACUUCGUGAAAUUAAUGUUUGGGCAUCUUACAUAAAGCCUCUCCCAACAUAAUAUCUGGAGCAAAGAUACAAAGGUAUAUAAUGUGAACAGGCUGACUUUUCACAGAUGCAUUCCACUAAUCAAAAUAAAACUAUAUAACACAUGGCUUUUUUGGUGACUGUGCCUAUUUAAAUUGAAAUAAUGAUUAAAAUAUGCAAAUUAAGGAUCUUAAAUAUAUACACAUUUUUAUUUUAUAUAAGACCCCACAGAAAAUGUCUUUUAUAUGCGAUCAACAACUUACUGGUUGCUACAAGGCUGCAUUUAUUUGAUCAAAAAUACAUUAAACAGUAAUUUUCUGAAAUAUUAUCAUUUCAAAUAACUGUUUUCUAUAUUAAUAUAUUUUAAAGGUUAAAUCAUUCUGAUGUACUGAUCUGCUGAUCAAGAAACAUUAUUGUCAAAACAGUUCAGCUGCUUCAUAUUUUUGUGGAAGCAUUUAUUUGACCUUUGUAACAUUCUAAAUAAGAAUCCUCAUUUAUUUGAACAGAAUAGAUCCCAUGCAUUCUUUCAUCAGGUGAGUCGAGGUCAAAACUGAUCAAAUGUUCGACACAGAAAACAAGUCGCAGCUGGGACAGUAAUCUACACGUCCCACCUGGUGCUGCUAUUAAUGGCAAAGGAGAACAAUAAAAGCUGGUGAUGCAGGAAGGCGCAGGGUGACGCUCACCCAGGGGGUGAACCCCCUCAUCAUUCAUGAGAGGGAAAGGCCCAAGGUCCUUAUGACUGAUUAUAAUCCACUUCCUCUGUGUGCCAAUGUGGGUUUAUAAACAGACCAACACAACCUACAAAUAAACCAUUAGACCAAAAUGGUGGACUAGUUGCCUGACAAUCAAAUAAUCUUUUAAAUUCUUGAUAUAAUCGAAUUACAGAAGCCCCAUAAGAAACUGUCUGCUUGGUGUCUAAUGGGUGUGAGAAUGCAUUAUCUAAAGACAAACUAGCUGAUUCUGAAAAGAUGUACUUCUGUGUGUGAAGUGGGCUUAUUAAAAACCAAACCCGCACACAUUGAGGACACAUGGGGUGCUUUCUCUUACAUGCGUACAUAGUCUCUCUGGCUGGCACACAGACACACAGUCUGGUCAGCAGAGAUAGCAUUUUCUGCAACAUUACAGAUGAACACACACGGAGUUAAAAGCAGCAGCCUAUCUGUCCAGACGAGCACGUCCCAGAGAGCUGUGAUGGAGCCACGGGAGACGGACAGGGGCGUAAGAGUGCUAUUUGUUCUGUUUAUCAUCACAGACCCAUGAUAAAGUCUGUUGCUAUGGACACCUUCAUCCUCCCUCUGUGGAGAAACGUAAAAGAAACAGAGGACAUGCCGCACAUGGAGGAGAAGAGAUGAGGAACACUCCAUUCCUGCCCAAAAACCUCAAAAAGACAGAUGCAAUACAUUUAGAAAUAAAUGCUGUUCUUUUGCACCGUCUAUUAAUGAAAUAAGAAUAUAUAUAUAUAUGGUUUCUGAAAAAGAAAAUUCUUCUUUACACAUUCGGCUAUUUUCUCAAUAGCAAAAUGUUAUCUUAAAUUGCAAUAAUAUUU
Molecule: long non-coding RNA, 2281 nt
Organism: Carassius auratus (goldfish)
Lineage: Eukaryota; Metazoa; Chordata; Actinopteri; Cypriniformes; Cyprinidae
Exons: 2
Source: RefSeq, a predicted model, not a curated record